Molecule: ribosomal RNA, 506 nt
Filed under: uncultured bacterium
Lineage: Bacteria
Description: bacterial SSU rRNA
Rfam family: Bacterial small subunit ribosomal RNA
Source: RNAcentral
AUUGAACGCUGGCGGCAUGCUUUACACAUGCAAGUCGAACGGUAACGGGGACUUCGGUCUGCCGACGAGUGGCGAACGGGUGAGUAAUAUAUCGGAACGUGCCCAGUAAUGGGGGAUAGCUCGGCGAAAGCCGGAUUAAUACCGCAUACGCCCUGAGGGGGAAAGUGGGGGAUCUUCGGACCUCACGUUAUUGGAGCGGCCGAUAUCAGAUUAGCUAGUUGGUGGGGUAAAGGCCUACCAAGGCGACGAUCUGUAGCUGGUCUGAGAGGAUGAUCAGCCACACUGGGACUGAGACACGGCCCAGACUCCUACGGGAGGCAGCAGUGGGGAAUUUUGGACAAUGGGCGCAAGCCUGAUCCAGCAAUACCGCGUGUGUGAAGAAGGCCCUAGGGUUGUAAAGCACUUUCAAUUGGGAGGAAAAAUAAGCGUUAAUACCGCUUAUCUUGACAUUACCUUUAGAAGAAGCACCGGCUAACUCCGUGCCAGCAGCCGCGGUAAUGUCGAUA